UGGGGAAUAUUGCACAAUGGGCGCAAGCCUGAUGCAGCCAUGCCGCGUGUGUGAAGAAGGCCUUCGGGUUGUAAAGCACUUUCAGCGAGGAGGAAGGUGGUGAACUUAAUACGUUCAUCAAUUGACGUUACUCGCAGAAGAAGCACCGGCUAACUCCGUGCCAGCAGCCGCGGUAAUACGGGGGGUGCAAGCGUUAAUCGGAAUUACUGGGCGUAAAGCGCACGCAGGCGGUUUGUUAAGUCAGAUGUGAAAUCCCCGGGCUCAACCUGGGAACUGCAUUUGAAACUGGCAAGCUAGAGUCUCGUAGAGGGGGGUAGAAUUCCAGGUGUAGCGGUGAAAUGCGUAGAGAUCUGGAGGAAUACCGGUGGCGAAGGCGGCCCCCUGGACGAAGACUGACGCUCAGGUGCGAAAAGCGUGGGGAGCAAAACAGGAUUAGAUACCCUGGUAGUCCACGCUGUAAAACGAUGUCGA
Molecule: ribosomal RNA, 471 nt
Filed under: uncultured bacterium
Lineage: Bacteria
Description: partial 16S ribosomal RNA
Rfam family: Bacterial small subunit ribosomal RNA
Source: RNAcentral